AGAGUAUCCAUGACACUUGUAUCCCUGGCAUUGUUCAGAAGCCCCUCUGAAAAAGAUUAUAAGACACUAUGACAUGGAUAUCCAGGAGGCCACAGGACAACAUACAGAAGCAAAAACAUUCAUUGACUAUGACGGCUCUAAACGACAGCAUGAAGAAAAGGAAAGAAAAAACAACAAAUGAAAAUGGCUGUGGAGUUCACGAUGGCUUAUCACUUAAAUGUGAUAAUAAUAAUACAGGAGAUCACUGAAGAUAAUUCCCACUUGCCGGAGAGGAAGAAACUACAACCUAUGGCGGUUGGGUCUCAUCUAAUACUUCCCUGUAGAACAGCAGAGCUGGGAUAAAGAACGGCCAUCUUCUAGGGUCCUCCCACUCGGCUGCAAUCAUCCCUUCACAUCUGCCAUAGGCUGUGAAAGCCAUUAGAACAUUAACUUAUACUCUUAUAAUCUUGUACUCUUACCAACUGUAUUGAUUCUUUACAAUAUACUGUCCUGUGGAUAUGUAUUUUUUGUUUUAGAAUUGAAUUAAAUUACUUUAAAAUGUAAAUUUAUUUUAGUAAAUUCAUGACUUCUU
Molecule: long non-coding RNA, 571 nt
Organism: Heterocephalus glaber (naked mole-rat)
Lineage: Eukaryota; Metazoa; Chordata; Mammalia; Rodentia; Bathyergidae
Source: RefSeq, a predicted model, not a curated record